CAAGACCUCACGUUAUUCGAGCGGCCGAUGCCUGAUUAGCUAGUUGGUGAGGUAAAGGCUCACCAAGGCGACGAUCAGUAGCUGGUCUGAGAGGAUGAUCAGCCACACUGGAACUGAGACACGGUCCAGACUCCUACGGGAGGCAGCAGUGGGGAAUUUUGGACAAUGGGCGCAAGCCUGAUCCAGCCAUUCCGCGUGAGUGAAGAAGGCCUUCGGGUUGUAAAGCUCUUUCGGCAGGGAAGAAAUCGCUAGGGGUAAUAUCCUUGGCGGAUGACGGUACCUGAAGAAGAAGCACCGGCUAACUACGUGCCAGCAGCCGCGGUAAUACGUAGGGUGCGAGCGUUAAUCGGAAUUACUGGGCGUAAAGCGUGCGCAGGCGGUUUUUUAAGCCAGAUGUGAAAGCCCCGGGCUCAACCUGGGAACU
RNAcentral lists this ribosomal RNA (424 nucleotides) under uncultured beta proteobacterium. Its description in RNAcentral is "bacterial SSU rRNA". It matches the Rfam family "Bacterial small subunit ribosomal RNA", at positions 202 to 622 of the family's 1533-position model. Lineage: Bacteria; Pseudomonadati; Pseudomonadota; Betaproteobacteria. The record is from RNAcentral.